This 426-nucleotide ribosomal RNA is filed under the name uncultured bacterium. RNAcentral describes it as "bacterial SSU rRNA". It matches the Rfam family "Bacterial small subunit ribosomal RNA", at positions 355 to 774 of the family's 1533-position model. The record is from RNAcentral.
UCGAGAAUUUUUCUCAAUGGGCGAAAGCCUGAAGGAGCGACGCCGCGUGGGGGAUGAAUGGCUUCGGCCCGUAAACCCCUGUCAUUUGUGAACAAAUUGCUUCACCUAACACAUGAAACAUUGAUUGUAACGGAAGAGGAAGGGACGGCUAACUCUGUGCCAGCAGCCGCGGUAAUACAGAGGUCCCAAGCGUUGUUCGGAUUCACUGGGCGUAAAGGGUGCGUAGGCGGUUUGAUAAGUCUGAUGUGAAAUCCCGCAGCUUAACUGCGGAACGGCAUUGGAAACUGUUUGACUGGAGGAAUGGAGGGGAGACUGGAAUACUUGGUGUAGCAGUGAAAUGCGUAGAUAUCAAGUGGAACACCAGUGGCGAAGGCGAGUCUCUGGACAUUUCCUGACGCUGAGGCACGAAAGCCAGGGGAGCAAACG